This 253-nucleotide ribosomal RNA is filed under the name uncultured bacterium. RNAcentral describes it as "partial 16S ribosomal RNA". It matches the Rfam family "Bacterial small subunit ribosomal RNA", at positions 524 to 776 of the family's 1533-position model. The record is from RNAcentral.
AACGUAGGACACAAGCGUUAUCCGGAGUUACUGGGCGUAAAGGGCGUGUAGGCGGAUUGAUAAGCCUAUUCUGAAAGCUCCUGGCUAAACUGGGAGAGGCGAAUGGAGACUGUCAGUCUAGAGUGAGGAAGAGGAAAGUGGAAUUCCGCGUGUAGUGGUGAAAUGCGUGGAGAUGUGGAGGAACACCGAUGGCGAAGGCAGCCCCCUGGGGUAACACUGACGCUCAUGCACGAAAGCGUGGGGAGCAAACAGG